Long non-coding RNA from Paramacrobiotus metropolitanus, 1045 nucleotides. RefSeq lists it as uncharacterized. Lineage: Eukaryota; Metazoa; Tardigrada; Eutardigrada; Parachela; Macrobiotidae. The record is from RefSeq and is a predicted model, not a curated record. The transcript has 4 exons.
AGUGUACAACUAAAUUUUUAUAUCUGAUAUUUAUGUGAUAGCUGAGUAGUUCCUCGAUCUGCAUGGAAAAUAAGAUCUAUGCAUAAAACCAAGUUCUGCAUCUAUAUUAAGUUAUAACUAAUGAUCGCAAGCGUGUCAUAAUCCCAAUUCGUUUUUUUAUUGAUGCUAUUAAACUCUAAUAAUUUUAUUAACAAAGCUGUCAUUCGAACUAACAAAAACAAACCUUAGUUCAUGGCUCAUUCUGGUCAGCACUGCACUACCGGCGCUGGUCGCGCAUGUGGCAAAGGUGACCUUUGUAGCAAAGGAUCAGCGGACUGCAAACAGGUGUCAGCGGCAUUUCUUGAGAGUCGGAUUAUUUCAGAUGCCAUUGAGCAUUCACCCAAAGAACUUUUGAAGGUCUGUUACGAGGGAAAACUUGCUGUCGUGCCUGGGAAAGAGCUCGCGCCUGUUCAAGUGAUCAAGCAGCCUACUGUGCAGUGGUCAGCCAGAAGUGAUCAGCUGUACACCCUUGUGGAAUUGGAUUUAGACGCUCCAAGUGCCACGGACUCUUCUUUAAGAUCUGUUCUGCAUUGGUUAAUCUACAACAUACCCGGGAAAAUUUAACUCAAGGCCAUGAAUAUGCAUCGUACAUGGGAAGUGCUCCUUUUCCAAACUCCGGUCUGCACCGAUAUGUGUUUCUAGUGUUUCCACAGACCGCGUCGUUUAAAAUACCCCCGCUGAUUGCCACUCCAGACUUUUCCGAACGAUUGCGAUUCGAUAUAAAAAACUUUGUACGGCAACGUAAUCUCGGUCCACCCUUAGCGGGAAAUUUCUAUGUUGCCCAGGCUGAUGCUUAUGCUACCGAAUUUUGGAAUAAACGUAACGCUUAGUUAUAUCUGUCGCUUAAAUACGUUUACUUAAUUAUAGAUAUUUUAAUAUGUAGAUUGAUUCUAAACGCCCGGCCAUGAAUAUAAAUUUAAUUUACCUAUCUGGGCAAGAAUUGCAACAUUACCGCAACAUUUUAUAAUGCCAUGUUCGUUAGUCAUUCAUUCGUUAUAAAAUGUCA